RNAcentral lists this ribosomal RNA (2787 nucleotides) under Escherichia coli. Its description in RNAcentral is "bacterial LSU rRNA". It matches the Rfam family "Bacterial large subunit ribosomal RNA". The record is from RNAcentral. Lineage: Bacteria; Pseudomonadati; Pseudomonadota; Gammaproteobacteria; Enterobacterales; Enterobacteriaceae.
AGCGUACACGGUGGAUGCCCUGGCAGUCAGAGGCGAUGAAGGACGUGCUAAUCUGCGAUAAGCGUCGGUAAGGUGAUAUGAACCGUUAUAACCGGCGAUUUCCGAAUGGGGAAACCCAGUGUGAUUCGUCACACUAUCAUUAACUGAAUCCAUAGGUUAAUGAGGCGAACCGGGGGAACUGAAACAUCUAAGUACCCCGAGGAAAAGAAAUCAACCGAGAUUCCCCCAGUAGCGGCGAGCGAACGGGGAGCAGCCCAGAGCCUGAAUCAGUGUGUGUGUUAGUGGAAGCGUCUGGAAAGGCGCGCGAUACAGGGUGACAGCCCCGUACACAAAAAUGCACAUGCUGUGAGCUCGAUGAGUAGGGCGGGACACGUGGUAUCCUGUCUGAAUAUGGGGGGACCAUCCUCCAAGGCUAAAUACUCCUGACUGACCGAUAGUGAACCAGUACCGUGAGGGAAAGGCGAAAAGAACCCCGGCGAGGGGAGUGAAAAAGAACCUGAAACCGUGUACGUACAAGCAGUGGGAGCACGCUUAGGCGUGUGACUGCGUACCUUUUGUAUAAUGGGUCAGCGACUUAUAUUCUGUAGCAAGGUUAACCGAAUAGGGGAGCCGAAGGGAAACCGAGUCUUAACUGGGCGUUAAGUUGCAGGGUAUAGACCCGAAACCCGGUGAUCUAGCCAUGGGCAGGUUGAAGGUUGGGUAACACUAACUGGAGGACCGAACCGACUAAUGUUGAAAAAUUAGCGGAUGACUUGUGGCUGGGGGUGAAAGGCCAAUCAAACCGGGAGAUAGCUGGUUCUCCCCGAAAGCUAUUUAGGUAGCGCCUCGUGAAUUCAUCUCCGGGGGUAGAGCACUGUUUCGGCAAGGGGGUCAUCCCGACUUACCAACCCGAUGCAAACUGCGAAUACCGGAGAAUGUUAUCACGGGAGACACACGGCGGGUGCUAACGUCCGUCGUGAAGAGGGAAACAACCCAGACCGCCAGCUAAGGUCCCAAAGUCAUGGUUAAGUGGGAAACGAUGUGGGAAGGCCCAGACAGCCAGGAUGUUGGCUUAGAAGCAGCCAUCAUUUAAAGAAAGCGUAAUAGCUCACUGGUCGAGUCGGCCUGCGCGGAAGAUGUAACGGGGCUAAACCAUGCACCGAAGCUGCGGCAGCGACGCUGAUGCGUUGUUGGGUAGGGGAGCGUUCUGUAAGCCUGCGAAGGUGUGCUGUGAGGCAUGCUGGAGGUAUCAGAAGUGCGAAUGCUGACAUAAGUAACGAUAAAGCGGGUGAAAAGCCCGCUCGCCGGAAGACCAAGGGUUCCUGUCCAACGUUAAUCGGGGCAGGGUGAGUCGACCCCUAAGGCGAGGCCGAAAGGCGUAGUCGAUGGGAAACAGGUUAAUAUUCCUGUACUUGGUGUUACUGCGAAGGGGGGACGGAGAAGGCUAUGUUGGCCGGGCGACGGUUGUCCCGGUUUAAGCGUGUAGGCUGGUUUUCCAGGCAAAUCCGGAAAAUCAAGGCUGAGGCGUGAUGACGAGGCACUACGGUGCUGAAGCAACAAAUGCCCUGCUUCCAGGAAAAGCCUCUAAGCAUCAGGUAACAUCAAAUCGUACCCCAAACCGACACAGGUGGUCAGGUAGAGAAUACCAAGGCGCUUGAGAGAACUCGGGUGAAGGAACUAGGCAAAAUGGUGCCGUAACUUCGGGAGAAGGCACGCUGAUAUGUAGGUGAAGCGACUUGCUCGUGGAGCUGAAAUCAGUCGAAGAUACCAGCUGGCUGCAACUGUUUAUUAAAAACACAGCACUGUGCAAACACGAAAGUGGACGUAUACGGUGUGACGCCUGCCCGGUGCCGGAAGGUUAAUUGAUGGGGUUAGCGCAAGCGAAGCUCUUGAUCGAAGCCCCGGUAAACGGCGGCCGUAACUAUAACGGUCCUAAGGUAGCGAAAUUCCUUGUCGGGUAAGUUCCGACCUGCACGAAUGGCGUAAUGAUGGCCAGGCUGUCUCCACCCGAGACUCAGUGAAAUUGAACUCGCUGUGAAGAUGCAGUGUACCCGCGGCAAGACGGAAAGACCCCGUGAACCUUUACUAUAGCUUGACACUGAACAUUGAGCCUUGAUGUGUAGGAUAGGUGGGAGGCUUUGAAGUGUGGACGCCAGUCUGCAUGGAGCCGACCUUGAAAUACCACCCUUUAAUGUUUGAUGUUCUAACGUUGACCCGUAAUCCGGGUUGCGGACAGUGUCUGGUGGGUAGUUUGACUGGGGCGGUCUCCUCCUAAAGAGUAACGGAGGAGCACGAAGGUUGGCUAAUCCUGGUCGGACAUCAGGAGGUUAGUGCAAUGGCAUAAGCCAGCUUGACUGCGAGCGUGACGGCGCGAGCAGGUGCGAAAGCAGGUCAUAGUGAUCCGGUGGUUCUGAAUGGAAGGGCCAUCGCUCAACGGAUAAAAGGUACUCCGGGGAUAACAGGCUGAUACCGCCCAAGAGUUCAUAUCGACGGCGGUGUUUGGCACCUCGAUGUCGGCUCAUCACAUCCUGGGGCUGAAGUAGGUCCCAAGGGUAUGGCUGUUCGCCAUUUAAAGUGGUACGCGAGCUGGGUUUAGAACGUCGUGAGACAGUUCGGUCCCUAUCUGCCGUGGGCGCUGGAGAACUGAGGGGGGCUGCUCCUAGUACGAGAGGACCGGAGUGGACGCAUCACUGGUGUUCGGGUUGUCAUGCCAAUGGCACUGCCCGGUAGCUAAAUGCGGAAGAGAUAAGUGCUGAAAGCAUCUAAGCACGAAACUUGCCCCGAGAUGAGUUCUCCCUGACUCCUUGA